Long non-coding RNA from Ochotona princeps (American pika), 1023 nucleotides. RefSeq lists it as uncharacterized. Lineage: Eukaryota; Metazoa; Chordata; Mammalia; Lagomorpha; Ochotonidae. The record is from RefSeq and is a predicted model, not a curated record. The transcript has 3 exons.
GUUGGUCUCAAGCCCCAGUCUUACCCAGCAACUUCCCAUUUUUAUUUGAAGGUCUCCUAGAAGCCUGGCCAAAGUGGAAGAAUCUCUCUCUCUCUCAAAACUGAUUGAUAUAAAUAUGAAUUUAUGUUACUGAAGAACAAAAAGACUGGAGUCACCUGUCUGUCUCAUCGCCUGAGGUGGCUAAACCCAAGGCACAGUCUUGAUGUGGGUGGACACACGCCGUUUUCCUUCUGCAUUCCAAUCGUUGGAACUCCUACCGAAACAGAAUUGGACUGGGCAAGACUCACUAAGCCUCUUAGUAAAUAAUGGCAUGUGACUUCAAGUCAGGCUGAGUAAGACCUGGCACUGCCCAUCGAUCCUUGAAUGAAAGUUCCAUUUAUGAAUUUCUGGAACAAAUAACUGUGGUACUACGCAACACAGUAGAUAAGCAGGCACUCCUGUUACUGGAUGAAGAGCACUGCUGGGAGCCACAAGUAGACGCAGGCAGAGCAAGGACACAGCUUCUUCUGGGCCUAGGUGUCCCUAUGUGUGCUACUUCCUUUACCAGGUGUGAUCUAUUGACAUUCAAGCUAAGGCAGAUAAAAAGCCUUAGGUCAACUAUGAAGUUGAAUGCAUUCACAAACUACCAGUGUGAUUGCUGAACCUGAUGAGAUUAGUACAAUUCUUGGCUUUGACCAACAUAGAAACCUUUAUAUGGGAAGUGGGUCUCAAAUAAACCAAGUUGUUGCCAAUAAAUUAAAUGAUCUGUGUGUUAAAGGGAAAGGGAAGGCGCUGUUGGGAGAAACAUACUCUUUAUAAUUUAAUACAUAGGGAUUGAAAACAGGAAAUAUUUCAGUUAUGAAAACAAAAGAAGCCCAUAUGCCAUAAUAUUUAAACAGAAUGGGGUGGUCCAAAGGUAAUUAGGUUGAGUAGGAUGAGAAUAAGAAAGUUAAAACUAAUAUUUCGUCCUCCAUCUAUAUCCAGUUUAUGAGUAUAUAGAAACAGUGUAGUGUUUCUCAAACUGGAGUGAUACAUGGAGUCUUU